CUACGGGAGGCUGCAGCUGAGGAUCUUUUACAAUGCACGAAAGUGUGAUAGAGCGAGCCAGAGUGUUGUUCUUAGAACAAUUUUUAUCUGCUGUAAAAAGGCAGAUGAAUAAGGACUGGGCAAGACCGGUGCCAGCCGCCGCGGUAAUACCGGCGGUCCAAGUUGCAUCCAUUUUUAUUGGGUCUAAAACAUCCGUAGCUUGCUUUGUAAGUUUCUUGUGAAAUCUCAUGUCUCAAACAUGAGGCUUGCAAGAAAUACUGCAUAGCUAGAGACCGGAAGACGUAAGGAGUAUGAUUGAGGUAGCGGUAAAAUGUGUUAAUCUUGAUCAGACUAACAACGGCGAAGGCACCUUACGAGUACGGAUCUGACAGUGAGGGAUGAAGGCCAGGGGCGCAAAACGGAUUAGAUACCCCCGUAGUC
RNAcentral lists this ribosomal RNA (420 nucleotides) under uncultured archaeon. Its description in RNAcentral is "partial 16S ribosomal RNA". It matches the Rfam family "Archaeal small subunit ribosomal RNA", at positions 323 to 746 of the family's 1478-position model. The record is from RNAcentral.